CCUACGGGGGGCAGCAGUGAGGAAUAUUGGUCAAUGGACGAGAGUCUGAACCAGCCAAGUAGCGUGAAGGAUGACUGCCCUAUGGGUUGUAAACCUCUUUUAUGCGGGGAUAAAGGUGUCCACGUGUGGAUGUUUGCAGGUACCGCAUGAAUAAGGACCGGCUAAUUCCGUGCCAGCAGCCGCGGUAAUACGGAAGGUCCGGGCGUUAUCCGGAUUUAUUGGGUUUAAAGGGUGCGCAGGCGGAAUGUCAAGUCAGCGGUAAAAUUUCGGGGCUCAACCCCGUCGUGCCGUUGAAACUGGCGUUCUUGAGUGAGCGAGAAGUAUGCGGAAUGCGUGGUGUAGCGGUGAAAUGCAUAGAUAUCACGCAGAACUCCGAUUGCGAAGGCAGCAUACCGGCGCUCAACUGACGCUCAUGCACGAAAGCGUGGGUAUCGAACAGGAUUAGAUACCCGGGUAGUC
Molecule: ribosomal RNA, 459 nt
Filed under: uncultured bacterium
Lineage: Bacteria
Description: partial 16S ribosomal RNA
Rfam family: Bacterial small subunit ribosomal RNA
Source: RNAcentral